UGGGGAAUUUUGGACAAUGGGCGAAAGCCUGAUCCAGCAAUGCCGCGUGUGUGAAGAAGGCCUUCGGGUUGUAAAGCACUUUUGUCCGGAAAGAAAUCCUUGGCUCUAAUACAGUCGGGGGAUGACGGUACCGGAAGAAUAAGCACCGGCUAACUACGUGCCAGCAGCCGCGGUAAUACGUAGGGUGCAAGCGUUAAUCGGAAUUACUGGGCGUAAAGCGUGCGCAGGCGGUUUGCUAAGACCGAUGUGAAAUCCCCGGGCUCAACCUGGGAACUGCAUUGGUGACUGGCAGGCUAGAGUAUGGCAGAGGGGGUAGAAUUCCACGUGUAGCAGUGAAAUGCGUAGAGAUGUGGAGGAAUACCGAUGGCGAAGGCAGCCCCCUGGGCCAAUACUGACGCUCAUGCACGAAAGCGUGGGGAGCAAACAGGAUUAGAUACCCUGGUAGUCCACGCCCUAAACGAUGUCAACUAGUUGUUGGGGAUUCAUUUCCUUAGUAACGUAGCUAACGCGUGAAGUUGACCGCCUGGGGAGUACGGUCCGCAAGAUUAAAACUCAAAGGAAUUGACGGGUCAUAGCU
RNAcentral lists this ribosomal RNA (577 nucleotides) under uncultured bacterium. Its description in RNAcentral is "partial 16S ribosomal RNA". It matches the Rfam family "Bacterial small subunit ribosomal RNA", at positions 355 to 925 of the family's 1533-position model. The record is from RNAcentral.